AGCGAACGCUGGCGGCAGGCCUAACACAUGCAAGUCGAACGAACCUUUCGGGGUUAGUGGCGGACGGGUGAGUAACACGUGGGAACGUGCCUUUAGGUUCGGAAUAACUCAGGGAAACUUGUGCUAAUACCGAAUGUGCCCUUCGGGGGAAAGAUUAAUCGCCUUUAGAGCGGCCCGCGUCUGAUUAGCUAGUUGGUUGAGGUAAUGGCUCACCAAGGCGACGAUCAGUAGCUGGUCUGAGAGGAUGAUCAGCCACAUUGGGACUGAGACACGGCCCAAACUCCGAGGGGGGGCAGCAGUGGUGUAGAGUGCGGAUGGGGAGCAACUCCGGGCAAGCCGGAGGGCUUGAGUGAUGGUGAUGUUUGAGUUGUAAAGUUCUUUCGCGCGGGCCGUUAGUGGCGGUCCCGGGCAAAGUCGCCCCGGCAAUCUUCGCAACAGCGGCGGGGGUAAUAUGAGUACGAACACCCUUCGGCCC
This 475-nucleotide ribosomal RNA is filed under the name uncultured bacterium. Its description in RNAcentral is "partial 16S ribosomal RNA". It matches the Rfam family "Bacterial small subunit ribosomal RNA", at positions 35 to 539 of the family's 1533-position model. The record is from RNAcentral.